RNAcentral lists this ribosomal RNA (496 nucleotides) under uncultured bacterium. RNAcentral's name for it is "partial 16S ribosomal RNA". It matches the Rfam family "Bacterial small subunit ribosomal RNA", at positions 29 to 507 of the family's 1533-position model. The record is from RNAcentral.
ACGAACGCUGGCGGCGUGCCUAAUACAUGCAAGUUGAGCGCUGAAGGUUGGUACUUGUACCAACUGGAUGAGCAGCGAACGGGUGAGUAACGCGUGGGGAAUCUGCCUUUGAGCGGGGGACAACAUUUGGAAACGAAUGCUAAUACCGCAUAAAAACUUUAAAUACAAGUUUUAAGUUUGAAAGAUGCAAUUGCAUCACUCAAAGAUGAUCCCGCGUUGUAUUAGCUAGUUGGUGAGGUAAAGGCUCACCAAGGCGAUGAUACAUAGCCGACCUGAGAGGGUGAUCGGCCACAUUGGGACUGAGACACGGCCCAAACUCCUACGGGAGGCAGCAGUAGGGAAUCUUCGGCAAUAGACGAAAGUCUGACCGAGCAACGCCGCGGGAGUGAAGAAGGUUUUCGGAUCGUAAAACUCUGUUGGUAGAGAAGAACGUUGGUGAGAGUGGAAAGCUCAUCAAGUGACGGUAACUACCCAGAAAGGGACGGCUAACUACGUG